AUUGAACGCUGGCGGCAUGCCUUACACAUGCAAGUCGAACGGUAACAGGGAGCUUGCUCCGCUGACGAGUGGCGAACGGGUGAGUAAUGUAUCGGAACGUACCUUUCAGUGGGGGAUAACGUAGCGAAAGUUACGCUAAUACCGCAUAUUCUGUGAGCAGGAAAGCAGGGGACCUUCGGGCCUUGCGCUGAUUGAGCGGCUGAUAUCAGAUUAGCUAGUUGGUGAGGUAAAGGCUCACCAAGGCGACGAUCUGUAGCGGGUCUGAGAGGAUGAUCCGCCACACUGGAACUGAGACACGGUCCAGACUCCUACGGGAGGCAGCAGUGGGGAAUUUUGGACAAUGGGGGCAACCCUGAUCCAGCCAUGCCGCGUGAGUGAAGAAGGCCUUCGGGUUGUAAAGCACUUUCAGUCAGGAGGAAGGGGUGAUGGCUAAUAUCCAUCAUCAUUGACGUUACUGACAGGAGAAGCACCGGCUAACUCCGUGCCAGCCGCCGCAGUAA
RNAcentral lists this ribosomal RNA (500 nucleotides) under uncultured bacterium. Its description in RNAcentral is "partial 16S ribosomal RNA". It matches the Rfam family "Bacterial small subunit ribosomal RNA", at positions 30 to 523 of the family's 1533-position model. The record is from RNAcentral.